UUUGAAGUAACUUUUGCCGUAUUCUGAUGCGAUCUCGUCGUACGAGGGACUCACUGGUGUUGAUGAGGAACUGAUUGGAGACCCCCGGAUGGUCCACAUCAUGGAUGGCGGCGGCGAAGAGGGCGGCGAGGAUCUCCAGGUGUAACGUACGUCGAGGGCCGGCGUGGAGAGGAGCACAUGAGUGGACUGCGUGACGUCGGCGGCGUGGAGGCUGUUGUGGUACGCUACGUUGCCGUGGUAAUGGUCCUCCAGGGUCAUCACGAUGAUGGCUUCACUCACCCAGGAAAGUGCUGGAGAUGUACUCUGACACCUGGUUUCCGGAGCGACUCAUCUCAGAGAGGUAGUUUGAAUGAAACUCAAGUAUUCCUUUCCCCUACCUUGUUGGACGCCAUCUCGCUGACUGAGCGGUGAGUCUGGAUGGUUUCCAGCUGGUCCAGACACCAGUCCAAUUCUUCCAGCGUGUCCAGAGCGAGCUGCUGGUACUGCUGGUCCGACAGCGUGGCCCUGGGACUCACGCACACCCCACCCAGUGGCGACCUCCUGAGCAAGCAAUUGUCUUUUUUUUUUGUUUUCUUUCUUGCGAGCUGAAAGCGUGCGAGCAUCAUCUAAAUGGAUUCCUUUGCGCAGACCUUCCCGGCGAGCACAAAGGAAGGUCAGAACGUGUGAAAGUCACCAGUUACCGACAGCACGCUGCGGCUCUUCUUCAUUCUGAUUGGCUCGUUCUGGGCCCCAGGGCGGAGCGUUCCGGAACCCAGGCAGCAGAGCAGGUGGAGAGCCAGGACCGGAGAGAUUUCCUCUCGCCUCCACGUAGAAGAGCCGCACACGCGGGUAGGCGCAGAUCUCCCCAAGUGACAUGCCGUAGAUGAGAUCGACAGAUUCGUAUGACCUGAUUUCAGUCCUCUUGGCAGAAAAAGGGACCCACAAUCCCGAGUCGAUGGACUUCGCUAGGGGUGCCUGCCCUCCUGUGGAGACCACCGGAUCGUCAUCAUCAGCAGCAGCAGCAGCAGCAGCAGCAGCAACCAUCAACUCACAUCAGGGUCCUGACAGAGAAACGACCAGCGGGUCAGAACCUCUGCGUGUGUUUACGGCAGUCGGAGCGGCACAACAGGAUCGAUACGCCGUGCGUUUGUGUGCAAACGGAGUGAAACAAGAAACUCUCGGAAGAGGCUCACGGGCCGUGUAAACAAACACACUGUGAGCUGCAGUCGCACGAGGGGAACAAAUACGGACACGGAUGUAUUUUAUCAUCUCUCCGUUAUUGAAAUGACCAUCUGUAUAUUUUCGGAACCUUAUGUGUGUGUCCGUGGGGUGUUUACCUUGGGCAGUGACUCGUAGACCUCGACGGGGUCUAGACCACCGGGUCCCAGUCUUUUCCGCUUCUCCUCCAUCUCCAGCCCAGGGCCUCUUGCGUACGCAUCGGUGCGCAGCGCCCCACUCGCUCCUUCAGCAGCUCCAGCUCGCGCCGGCGCCCGCCCGGACCGGUCGGCACUCCGCGGCGCACGCGAGGCCGGCGUCACCCUCGAGGAUCUCGACUUUGCCUUCUACUGACCUUCAUACUUUGGAAGAACUGCCUGAAGCAGCCUCGCGGGUCGGCCUUCAACGCUCGGCCUGGAUCCAAGAGGGACUGCAUGACUAUGGCCUGGUGGGCCACCUGCUCCAUCGCGGCGUGCUUCUGAACAGAAACAGUUUGCUCACCUCCGCCCGGAAUCGGUUCACCUCGUCCGCCCUCCAUCGCUCGGAGUCGUCCCCGGGCCUCGUCCAGGAGCUCGCCGCGUUCUGCGAGGUUGCUCUCCAGGUCCUCUCCCCUCCGCUGGAAGGUGGCAUCUUCUCCAGAUACACCUAAUGCCCCCAUGGAAUGGAGAACAAGCUCGGCAUGUCGACUUAAGGGUUUGUGACGUCAUCGUCGUCCGAAACGUCGCUGUGAUCUCAGGCGCUGUAGUCGAUGUGGGACCCGGUUCCGGUCAUCCUCCGGUGCCAAAUGUGUUCAGCCGCGACGUUCUAACCGACUUGGUGAUUUCAUACACAGGUUAAACGCCUCACCGAUCCUCUUCAUGAGCCACAAGCUGUUGACGCAAAUCCUGUUGUUGAUUUUUUAUUUAGCUGCUAGCUGUAGCGGUGUGUCCUCGCUUUGUUUUCUCUGCUACCCAAUUGGUGGAAGUCAGGGUUGUUACUCAUGCUGGCCAAUGAGGUUUCAUUUUAUUGAAACGCUCUAAAACUGGCGGCUCAUUCAUGCUAGCUAACAAACGGCUAAUGCUAGGUCACAACAAUGUAACACACAAGACAUUCAAAGGACUACAUUUUAUUUCCCUACUGACAAUAGUAACAAUGAUAAUACAUACCUUGCAUUUCAGUAUCAAUAUUUAAAAUUGUGCAUCCAUAUUCUCUCGCUCAUCCAUGGAAGCAAACCAUUACCCUAUUGUUAACUUAAUGAAUAUUAAUAUAUGUGAUAAAAAGAACAAUUAGGGUAUUUUGCAAAUACUAAAUGGCUAUACGGUGUGUGUGUAUGUGUGUAUAUAUAUAUAUAUAUAUAUAUAUAUAUAUAUACAAAUUGUCAUUAUUAUUCUCUAAUUGCAAUUUUCAGAUGGGCAGUAAUAUAAUAUUCUCCAGUACAUCAUUUAUCCAUGCUAGCGAACCACUACACUCAGUGAAUUAAAUGAAUAAUGUUUGCGAAAUGCAAUAAUUCGGUUAUUUGAACAAAUAACAGUACCACUCAUCAUUUUGUCAUCAUUCUCGUUUUAUUUUAAUUUCAGCUUCUCAGUAUUAUGCUGCAGAUUGGUGCAAUGUGACAAAAAAAAAAAAACAUUUCAAGAAAAUAUACAUAUCUUUAUAAAUACAUUUGAAAAAUAUAAAAUACGCCGCACAAUUUAGUCCACAUCUGGAACCAUUAUCACAGUAUGUAUUAUUAAUAGCGACGUGUGUGCACUUAUUGGACCCCAGGAUCCAACAAAGGGUAUAUAAAACAGAUAGGGCAAGAACAGGAUGUACAGUUGUGUCCAGGCUUGUAGACAAUCAAAAAACAUCCUCCACGUAUGUGAAGGUAUUUGAGGAGGGGAAAAAAAAAUGGGGGGUGGGGGGUUGUUUACAUUCAGAUGCAUGAAUGGCACUAGUAUUGUAUUUCAGCAUGGACGUGGACACAGCAGCAAAUUUAAAAUAGCAAGGCCUGUCACAAGUUCAGUUGCAUGCUGGGCUCCAUUACAGCUUGAUCGAAGAGGAACUUUAUCACCCCCCCCCCCCAACCCCCCGCAAAAAUGUAACUCAACAUUUUUAUUUCUAACCUGUGUCAUAAACGCCCAAGUUGCUGUGAUGUGCCAAAAAGACCCCUCCCUUUGAGGCUUUAACUUUUGCAAUAAACAGGAAAGCAAAACGACUUCCCGCAGUUACGUCGAUGCCUUUGAGAUCCUCUGUGCCUCCCCCCUUGUAGUUAGUGUUACACUUCAAGGAAAGAUUAGUUAUUUUACACGAAAUGCAUGACCGCAAAAGGUAAUAUUGACCCCCCCCCCCCCGAAAGAAAAAAUAGUUUAGCUUCAUAUCCUUAGCCUGCUUUCCCAUACUCACAGUUUUGUUUUAAACUCACCCCCAGUUGCCACUUUCUCUUGGCAACAUGCAAUUUGGUAGCCAUGUUUCUUUCACACAGGUAGACUUUACAAAAAAAAAGUUCCAAAAACCGAAAAGAAACAUUCAUUUAAGGGGCACUUCGACCAUUUCUAGUGGUCCUUGACCCAAAAAAAGAUUUUAUCCGACUCCUCCCAAAUUUGAGCCUCGGAUCCUAGACGGACGGGCGACCCUAAAUUGCAUUUGCGUUUUCGACAAUGUGCAUGCCCCCUACCCAAAAAAAACCCGUUAGCGCCAUAGUAACUCAGCUCCACUAAAUCCAGGCUUAACUAACUUAUUAAGUGUCCCAAUCCGGGCCCCUGCAUCCCCGCAAUCAGCUUUAGUUUACAUAGUCUAUUUUUUUUUUGAUUAGCGUUAAAAUGAUUGCGUAAAAUGACCAAAGUGGAUGAAACAUGAUUUACAAUUAAUAUAGAAAACGCAUUACCUUGCAGAUACAUGAAGUUCUUUUUGCUUGUUUAAAAAAAAAAAGUUUCAUGAAUUUAGGUUUUUUUUUUUUUUUUUUUUUUUUUUUUUGGAUGUGCAUGGUGUCAAACUCAAGGCCCAGAAGCCAGAUCCGGCCGGCUACAUGAUUUUAUGUGGCCCGCGGAGGCAAAUCAUGUGUGCCGACGUCCAUGAUUUUUUUUUUGUUUCAAAUCUGUACCAAAAUCUCAAACUGUCAUAUCAUAAAUGAUAAUUACAAGCAUUUUUGUGUGACCAAACAACAAUAGUUGGGAAAACCCAUUACCCUUGAUUUCUGAUUCCAAAACUAGUUCAUAAAUUUCACAUGUAAAUAUGAUGAAGCGGUUAAAGAUUUUUAUUGUUUUACAGCCAUAAAGGCCCUUUGAGAGAAACCGUGAGUACGAUGUGGCCCCCGACAAAAUAGAGUUUGACACCUCUAAUCGAGUGGAUUUAAAGUGAACUGCAUUUUUUUAACAAAAUAGCUCUAAUCUGUAACUACUUGAUAUCCACAUAUAAAGUUUAGAAUUGCUUAUAGAGGUGCCAGAUGGCACCAAAGCACAAAUUUUAUAUUACACAUGGUUUCAGCCUGAACAUAGAAACAGCAAAUAAGUGACCCCCCCCC
Syngnathoides biaculeatus (alligator pipefish) is the source of this 4672-nucleotide long non-coding RNA. RefSeq lists it as uncharacterized. NCBI's taxonomy places the organism in Eukaryota, Metazoa, Chordata, Actinopteri, Syngnathiformes, Syngnathidae. The transcript has 11 exons. The record is from RefSeq and is a predicted model, not a curated record.